This 314-nucleotide ribosomal RNA is filed under the name uncultured bacterium. RNAcentral's name for it is "partial 16S ribosomal RNA". It matches the Rfam family "Bacterial small subunit ribosomal RNA", at positions 499 to 807 of the family's 1533-position model. The record is from RNAcentral.
UUAUAAGAGACAGCAGUAGCCGCGGUAAUACGGAGGGUGCAAGCGUUAUCCGGAUUUAUUGGGUUUAAAGGGUCCGUAGGCGGACUUAUAAGUCAGUGGUGAAAGCCUGUCGCUUAACGAUAGAACUGCCAUUGAUACUGUAAGUCUUGAGUAUAUUUGAGGUAGCUGGAAUAAGUAGUGUAGCGGUGAAAUGCAUAGAUAUUACUUAGAACACCAAUUGCGAAGGCAGGUUACCAAGAUAUAACUGACGCUGAGGGACGAAAGCGUGGGUAGCGAACAGGAUUAGAUACCCCUGUAGUCCCUGUCUCUUAUAC